RNAcentral lists this ribosomal RNA (207 nucleotides) under uncultured bacterium. RNAcentral describes it as "partial 16S ribosomal RNA". It matches the Rfam family "Bacterial small subunit ribosomal RNA", at positions 568 to 774 of the family's 1533-position model. The record is from RNAcentral.
AGCGUAAACGGCACAGCAAGUCUGAAGUGAAAUCCCCGGGCUCAACCCGGGAACUGCUUUGGAAACUGUUGGGCUGGAGUGCUGGAGAGGCAAGCGGAAUUCCUAGUGUAGCGGUGAAAUGCGUAGAUAUUAGGAGGAACACCAGUGGCGAAGGCGGCUUGCUGGACAGUAACUGACGUUGAGGCUCGAAAGCGUGGGGAGCAAACA